UACGGGGGGCGCAAGCGUUGUUCGGAUUUACUGGGCGUAAAGGGCGCGUAGGCGGUCAUGACAAGUCACUUGUGAAAUCUCCGGGCUUAACUCGGAACGGUCAAGUGAUACUGUCAGACUAGAGUGCAGAAGGGGCAACUGGAAUUCUCGGUGUAGCGGUGAAAUGCGUAGAUAUCGAGAGGAACACCUGCGGCGAAGGCGGGUUGCUGGGCUGACACUGACGCUGAGGCGCGAAAGCCAGGGGAGCGAACGGG
Molecule: ribosomal RNA, 254 nt
Filed under: uncultured bacterium
Lineage: Bacteria
Description: partial 16S ribosomal RNA
Rfam family: Bacterial small subunit ribosomal RNA
Source: RNAcentral